CUACGGGAGGCUGCAGUGGGGAAUAUUGGACAAUGGGGGAAACCCUGAUCCAGCAAUGCCGCGUGUGUGAAGAAGGCCUGCGGGUUGUAAAGCACUUUCGGUUGGGAGGACUGCUUCUAGCACUAAUAUUGUUGGAAGUUGACGUUACCUUCAGAAGAAGCACCGGCUACUCCGUGCCAGCAGCCGCGGUAAUACGGAGGGUGCAAGCGUUAAUCGGAAUUACUGGGCGUAAAGCGCGCGUAGGCGGCUAGAUCAGUCGGGUGUGAAAGCCCCGGGCUUAACCUGGGAACUGCAUCCGAUACUGUCUAGCUUGAGUACAGGAGAGGAGAGUGGAAUUCCACAUGUAGCGGUGAAAUGCGUAGAUAUGUGGAGGAACACCAAUGGCGAAGGCAGCUCUCUGGCCUGAUACUGACGCUGAGGUGCGAAAGCGUGGGGAGCAAACGGGAUUAGAUACCCGGGUAGUC
RNAcentral lists this ribosomal RNA (464 nucleotides) under uncultured bacterium. Its description in RNAcentral is "partial 16S ribosomal RNA". It matches the Rfam family "Bacterial small subunit ribosomal RNA", at positions 339 to 795 of the family's 1533-position model. The record is from RNAcentral.